AGCUUGCACAGGUGCUGCAUGGCUGUCGUCAGCUCGUGUCGUGAGAUGUUCGGUUAAGUCCGCUAACGAGCGCAACCCUCGCUGUGUGUUACAAGUGUCACACGGGUACUGCCGGUCUUAAGCCGGAGGAAGGUGGGGAUGACGUCAAGUCAGCAUGGCCUUUACGUCCUGGGCUACACACACGCUACAAUGGCCAACACAAUAGGUUGCUAAGCCGCGAGGUGGAGCCAAUCCUCAAAGUUGGUCUCAGUUCAGAUUGCAGGCUGCAACCCGCCUGCAUGAAGAUGGAGUUGCUAGUAACCGCAGGUCAGCUAUACUGCGGUGAAUACGUUCCCGGGGCCGUU
RNAcentral lists this ribosomal RNA (344 nucleotides) under uncultured Leptolinea sp. RNAcentral describes it as "bacterial SSU rRNA". It matches the Rfam family "Bacterial small subunit ribosomal RNA", at positions 1027 to 1380 of the family's 1533-position model. Lineage: Bacteria; Bacillati; Chloroflexota; Anaerolineae; Anaerolineales; Anaerolineaceae. The record is from RNAcentral.